This 322-nucleotide ribosomal RNA is filed under the name uncultured eukaryote. RNAcentral describes it as "partial 18S ribosomal RNA". It matches the Rfam family "Eukaryotic small subunit ribosomal RNA", at positions 1470 to 1796 of the family's 1831-position model. The record is from RNAcentral.
CCCUUAGAUGUUCUGGGCCGCACGCGCGCUACACUGACGAAUGCAACGAGCUUAUAACCUUGGCCGAAAGGUCUGGGUAAUCUCCAAAUUUCGUCGUGAUGGGGAUAGAUUAUUGCAAUUAUUGGUCUUCAACGAGGAAUUCCUAGUAGACGUAGUUCAUCAGACUGCAUCGAUUACGUCCCUGCCCUUUGUACACACCGCCCGUCGCUCCUACCGAUUGGAUGAUCCGGUGAGCUAUUCGGACCUUCGCUUCGUCGAUUUUCGGCUUUGUGAGGGAAAGUCUCGCGAACCUUAUCAUCUAGAGGAAGGAGAAGUCGUAACA